GGGUUGGUGGGAACUCUGGGGUAUUUGGCUCCGGAAUACAUAAGCACAGGAAGGGCUAGUAAAUACUCUGAUGUAUACAGCUUUGGUGUGGUUGCGCUAGAAAUUGCGAGUGGUAGGAAGGCAACUGACUGCAUUCAAUAGAAAUCAGGAGUAAGUUUGGUAGAAUGGAUUUGGGAUCUAUAUGGAUGUGGAAAGCUUCAUUUGGGCAUUGACAAGAAGAUCCUUAUAGAUUUUAACGAGAAAGAAGUAGAAUGUUUGAUGAUUGUUGGAUUAUGGUGUGCCCAUCCUGAUUGCAACGCCAGGCCAUCAAUAAGACAAGCAAUUCAAGUGUUAAAUUUUGAGGCUGCGAUCCCUAAUCUGCCUGCUAAAAUGCCUAUUCCUACGUUUUGUGUGUCUACACCAUCCAUUACUUCCACUGAAGCUUCUAUCACCAAUUCGAGUCUUGCAGUGGGUCGUUAAUUAACUGCAUAUGUCUUCAAUCAUCUUGGCGUGUGCUGAACAUUAA
Molecule: unclassified non-coding RNA, 505 nt
Filed under: Hevea brasiliensis (rubber tree)
Lineage: Eukaryota; Viridiplantae; Streptophyta; Magnoliopsida; Malpighiales; Euphorbiaceae
Source: RNAcentral